CAUAAACUCAAUGGUACACCGGCACACUUCCCUUAGGAACGGCCAAAAUAAGAAUUUUCUGUCCCCGGGAUCAAUGUCCUGCGGUUUAUGGAACAAGUUUUUCUUGCUUCUUCAAAAUCAAAUGAAUUUGAAGAAUCAUAUGAAACAGGUUUUCUCGUUUCUUCAAAAUCAAAUGAAUUUGAAGAAUCAUAUGAAACAGGUUACAGCAUUUAAUAGAGGGGGAGAUGAAUCGCGAACAUCAUAGCAUCCCAAGUUGUUCUGUCUUAAAUAAUCUUCAGAUUGCACUGAAAGAGGCCCACCAAAUCUGCGGAGCAAUUUGGUAAUCAAUAAUUAGCAGGCCUAACCCCAU
This 349-nucleotide long non-coding RNA is filed under the name Eucalyptus grandis. Its description in RNAcentral is "long non-coding RNA (EGRA_LNC005795)". The record is from RNAcentral. Lineage: Eukaryota; Viridiplantae; Streptophyta; Magnoliopsida; Myrtales; Myrtaceae.